RNAcentral lists this ribosomal RNA (253 nucleotides) under uncultured bacterium. RNAcentral describes it as "partial 16S ribosomal RNA". It matches the Rfam family "Bacterial small subunit ribosomal RNA", at positions 524 to 776 of the family's 1533-position model. The record is from RNAcentral.
UACGGGGGGGGCAAGCGUUGUUCGGAAUUACUGGGCGUAAAGGGCUCGUAGGCGGCCAACUAAGUCAGACGUGAAAUCCCUCGGCUUAACCGGGGAACUGCGUCUGAUACUGGAUGGCUGGAGGUUGGGAGAGGGAUGCGGAAUUCCAGGUGUAGCGGUGAAAUGCGCAGAUAUCGGGAAGAACACCCGUGGCGAAGGCGGCUCUCUGGGACGGUACUGACGCUAAGACGCGAAAGCGUGGGGAGCGAACAGG